UAGGGAAUCUUCCACAAUGGGCGCAAGCCUGAUGGAGCAACACCCGCGUGAGUGAAGAAGGGUUUCGGCUCGUAAAGCUCUGUUGUUAAAGAAGAACACGUAUGAGAGUAACUGUUCAUACGUUGACGGUAUUUAACCAGAAAGUCACGGCUAACUACGUGUCAG
This 165-nucleotide ribosomal RNA is filed under the name uncultured bacterium. RNAcentral describes it as "partial 16S rRNA". It matches the Rfam family "Bacterial small subunit ribosomal RNA", at positions 355 to 511 of the family's 1533-position model. The record is from RNAcentral.